CAUACAGUGAAACACUUCCAGUUCUGUCUCCUUUAUCUGAUGCUUUCAUGCUCUGGAUCUUAAAACCUGGCCAGUCAUUUCCCCAGUGAUGGAUGCUGAGUGUCAGCAACAGCUCUAGAGAGAUCUGAGACCUCAGCCAGAAGCAGGGGAAGCUAAAAAGUGCAAAUCAACUCAACUGGCCUCCCAUGGAAGACAUGGAAGAAGAAACAAGAACAAAAGGCUAUGAGGAAACAUUGGAAGUCAGAGCCUUUGAAUAAUACUUAAUGUGAUAGUGAAAUAUGUUUAAAUGUCAGAUGACACAUAGAAUGUCAAAGCUGGAAGUUUCCCUAGAAGUCACUUACUGACCAACUAUCCCCAUGUGGAGGUGAGGAAAUGGGGGCUCAUGAAGGGUGAAGUUGUUUGCCUCAGGUGGUAUAACCAGGACCCUCACAAAUUAAAGGCGUGUAUUCAUGCAGAGGGCCU
RNAcentral lists this long non-coding RNA (462 nucleotides) under Homo sapiens (human). Its description in RNAcentral is "HSALNT0334676". The record is from RNAcentral. Lineage: Eukaryota; Metazoa; Chordata; Mammalia; Primates; Hominidae.